This 1971-nucleotide long non-coding RNA is filed under the name Homo sapiens (human). RNAcentral describes it as "non-protein coding lnc-ANAPC10-7:1". Lineage: Eukaryota; Metazoa; Chordata; Mammalia; Primates; Hominidae. The record is from RNAcentral.
AGUAGGAGAAUUGCUUUAGGAGAAGCCCAAAGUGGGAUGCUUGCUUUGCUCACAUUGAUUGCGUCUCCCAGUGCCUCCCCGCGCCUCAUCUCUGUCGUCAUCCUUUUUCUACUGCAGGCUCAUCAGAGAACACAAGUAGCUCACAGCACCCUGGAGAGGGAAGGUAGGGCCUCCCUGGCUUCUCCUUGUUCUUGUGCUAAGGACAAUGACUACUUCUUUCAAUGAUCUCAGGACCUCCUUUGUAAAUAUGUGGGCCCUACGCUCUGGCACUGUUUCUGUGUGGGCAAGGAUUACCCCCGCUGACCAUACAACGAUAAAAACUAAAAUAUAGUUAAAAUUAACCUAACAUAAAAGAAAAAAAAAAGACUUCUGUAUAAUAGUAAAAAGCCAUAAAGCCCAGUGUGUAUACAUGGAUUUAUUCCUUGAUUUUUAUAUACUUUAUUCUUCACUUGGAAUUGUCCAUAUUUAAUGUUAUUUUGAUUUUAUUCUUUCCUAUUUCUUUUACAACCUAAUAUUUUCAUAUUGGCCUAAGAAGAAUUAUUGUUGUUAGAGUCUUUCAGAUUCUCAUUCUCUGUGUUUUGUAUUUUUUCGUUGGCUUGUUUUGCUGAGUCAAUGUUACCGAUUUCCACUGUAUCUUUAUACUUUAAAAUUAAGAAAGUCCUACUUUAAGCUAUUACCAUGCAAAACUUUUCCAUAAUAAUGGACACAUUUCUAGUGUGUAUGAGAGCACAGUAAUAUGUAGUAUGUACAAGCUUCCAUAGGAAUGUGCUUCCAAUACAGGGGUUUGCAUUGCUGGGUUGAGAUGGACUUCAAAGUUGUUAAAACCUGGUAACUUAUUAAUAUAUUUCAGUAUAUUAAAUUAUUGUUCUUUUGAUAUUUUGAGAUUCCUCUAAAUAUGGUUUUAAGAAUGGUUUCCUUAUCCUCUCUAACUAGGCACCUAUAUUUUACAAGUGAGAAAACAGACUUAGGUAGACACAUAGGCUUCUUAACUGGUCCAUUCAAGUGACCAUGUUGGCUGCUUGAAUCCAGACCUGUGUAAGUUCCGUGUUCUGUCCACUUGACUAUACUUGGCCAUAAUUAAGCCAUGUAGCUAGCAUGAUAGCUCACAUAAAUCAUGAAUGCAAAACUUUUUUUUCAUUUAAUUUUGAUAGGCAGCAAGGAGAAGAAGGGAAAACUUUUUUUAUUUUUAAUUUAAUUUUGAUAGGCAGCAAGGAGAAGGGAAAUCAACUCUUCCCUAACAAAUUUUCAGGUCAAUGUUAAAGCAUUUAUUUCUAAACUUAGGUCAGUCUUAGCCUAUGUUCUCUUUUCUUUUAUGUUUUCUUCCUCAGUCUACUUUUCUGUACAUUCUGGGUCUGGAGGCAGGAUGAGGAUUGUAGCAUCUUCCACAAAGCCUGGAAGACAAACUCUGUGUUUACCCUGUUUCCAUGGCACCAGGGCUCUCUUGUCAAGGCUAAUAUCUUAGUGGGACACCUUACUGAGUGGUGUGGGUCUGCUUGUGAAGUUUACUCAGCUGGUUUCGCUUUGGCAGUGAGGCUUCUAAGACCUUCCACAAAACCACCACCUUGGCUGCUCUGGGUUUCUUUUGAAACAUCCUCAGGCUUGGCCCAUAAGGUAGGACUGAAUGGUACCAGGAUAUUCUGGUGUCUUCCAGAGAAUCCCAGAAAAACACUAGUGUAUGGACCUAAUGGCCAAGAAUGGUGUUUAAUUCUGAGUUUGGCACUAUGAUGAGGCUAUCACUUCUGUGCAUAUUUGAUCCCUCAGAAGGUAGCCAAGCCUGACCUGUACUUUUCAUGUCAAUUUUCUGUGAGGAAGAAAGAACAGUGGAGGACUUGGACUCUUGGAAGCUCAUCAGAGUGAGCUCAUCAGAGCCUUGAACGUUGUGGGCUAUGUGGACGUCACCCAGUGACAUCAGGAGUAAGGAAUUCCUGUUCAUUAUUCAGGUUUAGUGAUGUCUAUAUGGGAUGUGACUUC